RNAcentral lists this long non-coding RNA (524 nucleotides) under Phoenix dactylifera (date palm). RNAcentral's name for it is "long non-coding RNA (PDAC_LNC004399)". Lineage: Eukaryota; Viridiplantae; Streptophyta; Magnoliopsida; Arecales; Arecaceae. The record is from RNAcentral.
UGAAGAUAGAAAUAUACAUAUUUAUCAUAUAAAUAAUAUCAUAAACACUCCAAAUUACAUGUAUAAUAUAUAGGCAUUCAUAGUAUUUGAAAAGCAAUUAGAUUACUAGAAAUCAUGAAUCUAUAUUUAAGGGGAAUAUAGACCGUUACAACUAAUAGAUUUAUCGACUACCAAAAAAGAUUAGAAGUAAAGCUAUUUUAUUGAAAAAAAUUAUAAAUAAAGAUUUAUCUAUAAUGGGAUUCAAAUAAUGAAAUCAUAUUCUUCAAAUCUUCGAUCGUGCAGACCCUUGCCUUGGUGCUCCAGUGUCAUAUAAGAAGGAAGAUGAUCAUAAUUAGUCCCUUAUGUAAUUAAAGAUUGUAUCAGACUGCCCAAUCAACCUAAGUGAUCUUCAUGAGUAGUACUUUAGCUCUCAACAAAGUAUGCCGAAAAUAUAUGUGAAGCUGUGCCACCAAGAAUCUUGCUAUACCCUCCAUAUCUCCUAGACCUUGAAAUCAGAUACAUGCCCUGAGUGUACGCACUGCCAU